Molecule: ribosomal RNA, 253 nt
Filed under: uncultured bacterium
Lineage: Bacteria
Description: partial 16S ribosomal RNA
Rfam family: Bacterial small subunit ribosomal RNA
Source: RNAcentral
UACGUAGGGGGCUAGCGUUGUCCGGAAUCAUUGGGCGUAAAGCGCGUGUAGGCGGCCCGGUAAGUCCGCUGUGAAAGUCGGGGGCUCAACCCUCGGAUGCCGGUGGAUACUGUCGGGCUUGAGUGCGGAAGAGGCGAGUGGAAUUCCUGGUGCAGCGGUGAAAUGCGCAGAUAUCAGGAGGAACACCAAUUGCGAAGGCAGCUCGCUGGGACGUUACUGACGCUGAGACGCGAAAGCGUGGGGAGCAAACAGG